CACUGGUGGUGCAAAAUAUCAAGUGUGUAAUCUUUGACUUUGGCUGCCCCCACUCCUUUAUGGCCUUCACUGCAGCCUCUUUCCCUAGCUUUGGUACCUCUACCACCACUAUGUCUUGCCUCGCAUCCAAAGAAGGUGCCAUGUAAGCACACAUGUUAGGAUUCUCCUUCAGUAUCUCCUCGUCCAGGUGCAUAUAUCUCUUCUUUAUCAUCGACUUGUCACCUGAAAUAUUUUAAACCAAUAUGAAUGUUAAUCAUCUUCAUUGAACAUCAUAAACUUGUUAAAUUUAGGAUUUUGGUAGAUAUGAGAAGAUGAGAGGACUUACACAUGCGCUGGAACUUCUCUUUGAGGUCGGUCAUGUGCUCACUGUUUGUGAUUCUGAAGUAGUAAUCAGGAUAUGUGCUUUGAUCAACACAGUUUGAUGGGGUUGCAGUUCCUAUGGCAAGGAUGGUUGCUGGGCCUUCUGCCCUUUGAGCCUGGCGGAUCUCGGAUACACUCACCAUCUUAGUUUUCUUGAAUAGAACCAAUGAAGUGGUGAUUUUGACGAUGGUUUAGAACACCGAAUCAAGCACUGCGAUUUGGUUAAAAGAUGAAAGAAGUGACCAAGUUCACAGCACUUGAGUGGUAGAGAGGGUUGUUGGUUUGGUUGCUGAAGUUGUGUGUUUGAAGAUGUUGGAGGAGUUAGCAUUUUAUAUGUAUGCAAGGGUGGAUAGGAAGUAGGGUAGGUGAGUAUCACGUGCAACACCAAAGCCUUCUUACGUUGAAAACAUAUAUUUUUUGCACUGCCUACCAUGUCUGCUUCCUAGUUCGUGAGGUAGGAGUUUGGUGGCAUAUUUUUGAAGACCAUCUCCAUCCACAUAUAACUCAUUCAUUCAUUCACUGUUAAAUUUAGUAACCAAUAAUUGGUGAUAUUUUAUGCAUCUCUACCCUAUGAAAAUAUUUAAUCACAGUGCGUCCAACUUUUUGUGUGUUUUUAACUUUUAAUUUGAGUCAAGCUUGGUAGCGCAGCAAGAUUGUCUACCACUUGUAUUGGUAGGUGGACUGUUAAAUAACAUCGACGGCCACAAUCAAAUGAAAGUAAAUUCUACGGGCAGAUUUGCGCCACGUCAGGUUUUUGAAUUGCACAACACUACCUCUUUCAUAUAUUUUAUUGUAUAUUUUCUACUUGGUUACAUGGUUGGUCAAGGUCAAGCAUAAUUGAGUUCUAUUAAGCCAAAAAAAAAUGUGGGCACUGAAUAUUUUAAUUAAAUUUCAACGAGAGAAGUUUAUUCUUGAACGGUCAAGGUAAUAGAGCUACCUACCCAUUUUGAACCAAAGAAGCAUUUUUAGUUUGCUUGAUGCUCCUUUAUUUAUACAAUAACAAGUUUUUAGAUAACAUUUUCGGUAUAUGUUUGUUGAUGUUACUGAACUAUAAGAGUAUCUCCUUUUUAUCUGAAUAAAUAAAAGAGAAAAGUUUUGUUGAAAUAUGAAGAGUAAAAAACACUUUUGACAUUGUUUAUCAUAAUAUAAUAAUAUUUUUAAAUUAAUAUAUAUAUAUAUAUAUAUAUUAAUUUAUUAAAAGGUGAAGGGUAUGUUUUUACUAUUGAGAGUUUUAAUAUAUUACCAUCCUAAAUAAAAACGAUACCUGUGAGAAGUAAUUUAAUCAUGACUUAUUUAUCAUGGGUUGAUAUAACUAAAGUGCCGGAGUUAAAUAUUGUAGUGGUUUAGAAUUCCACAUUUGUCCAAUAAUAAUAAUAAAAAGAUAAUAAUAAAAAGUUAAUUGUAAUUUGUAUUUUUUUUUAUCAGCAAAGAAUUAAGUAAAUUAAUGAUACUUCAGGGUAUUCCAACUCUUAUACAAAUACCAUCAACAAGUCUAAAGAAAAAAUAAGAAUAGCAACUACAAAGAGUGACAUAAAGCUGCAUAAUAUCUAGCGGAACCAAAGUUUUCAUCCACAACUUGGUUACCGAACACAAAGGAAGAAAAUGUAGGGACCUAAGUCCCCUUCCCACAUCAAUGUUGAUCUUACAUUUGCAUCGUACAUCACAACAGCUUGCCCAAAAACCUUCCAAAAAUCCUUGGUCUAUCAUUGCAUGAACUCCACAUACACUGCCAUUUUGUUCCAUCAUUUUAUCUAAAACGAGUCUUAGGUGAUUGGCAAGUGGAAUGGCACGUUGGCUCUCUCACCCCUACUUCUUUCUUAGGUGGCUUUGAAGAAAGUAUAUCAUCUCCAGCUUAUGAAUAUGAAUGUGUGUCCACAUUUUUUAUUUUUAUUAUUGUAUGUAUAUUAUUAUAUGUGUAUUCGUAUAUUUUAAAUGUCAAAUAUCACUAAAAAAAAUAAGAUAAAAAUAUUUUCUCUCAUCAACUAUGAGUUUCAACAUACAACAUACAAUUUUAAUAAUUAAGUUAUAGUACAAAAUAUAUUACACAAAUUCAAAUUUAUAACACAAUGAACAUAAUUAUAUUAAAGCAAUUACGUCAUUUGUUUCAUUCUCAAGACUUGUAAAUCAUUAAUUUUGAUUUGUUACUAAUAUAAAAUUAAAAAAGAAAUAUAAUAAUGAAAAGAAAAAGAAGAAGAAUAAGAUGAGAAAGUCCCACUACAAGAAAAAAAUCAAUUUAUCUAUCGAAGAAUUCCAUAGGUAACAAUCAAAAUUCGUAGGUAAGUCAACAUGACCUAUGGAAUACCACAAAACAAAAUUCGUAUGUAGUGUGUUCGUGGGUAAUGAAGACAGGAGUUACCCACCAACUCCAGUCCAUGAGUAAAUCCAAAAAUAAUUCAACAUAUUUUAUUUUUAAAUUUUCAAUUAUUAUUUGAAUCUUUUUUUUUUAUUAUUAUUAUUGUAGUGUAACAUUUAUUUUAUUUUAUUUUAAGAUAAUUGAAUUUAAUGUACUAAAAAUAAAAUGUUUUUUUUAAUCAUCUAAAAGAGUUAGUAUUAAGAGUGACAAUAGACUUGGUUUUAGGUAAAGUCUUAUUUAAAAUUUGUUAAUAAAAAUAAUAUAAAGAAGAUAUUUCAAUAAGAUAUUAAAAAAAUUAGUCAUCUUCAUUAAAAUAUUUUGUAGCAAAAUUUGAUAAGAUACUCUGAUACAUUUACAUACAUAUAGAGGAAAAAUGGACGCAAAAAAAUAAUUAUUUUUAAUCAAGCCUUCUAACAAUUCUCAUACUUGAAUUCAUAUUUUUAUCUUAAUUGAAUGAAUUGAAAUAUAAAAUAAAUUUUUAAUUUUUCAGCAGAAGAAAUAAUUAUUUUUAUAAUUAAUAAUUUUUAAAAAAAUAUUUUUUUAUGCGGGUUGACCCGCACACCUCUUAUGCGGGGCGGGCUAGUGAAAUAAACCUGCAUUCCUUGCAUAGGGCGGACCAAACACAGAACAAGCCUAUACGAGGCGAGUCAACCUGCAUUGUCAUCCUAAUUAGUAAUUAGAAUGACACUAAGUUGACUCUUGAACUUCUUGAUAUACAAUUUGUUAUUUUAAAUUAUGAUAUUUUAUUGAGUUUUUUAUAUUUAAAUUUUGUUACAACACAUAUGACACACAAGUUUAUGACACAUAAGUUUACAACGACAGUUGGUAACUACAGCUUCAAUAACUAAUUAUUUUUUGUAUUUAAAUUUAUUGCUAUUUAAAGAUUUUUUUUUUGGAAUGUAAUAUAGGGUUUAAUGACUCAGAUAAACAAGAUUUAAUUGAUCAAUUUUAAGAUUACUUUUAAAAUUUUGUAUCUAUAAUUUUAAAAUAAUAUUUUCAUCAUUUAAAAGAGAUAAUCACGGUUAAAUGUUUUGUCACAUAUAUAUGCAGAAUUACUAAUUAGUGUGAGAUGUAAAAUAGGAUUAUCGGUAGCCUGCAAUAUAGUUCUCAUGUUUGUGUUGGUAAUAUUGAAGACUCUUUCUUUUGGCUUCUACUAAACUUAUAGAAGGUUGCUAAACUUUUCAAGAUAUUAAAAGAGUAAAUGAGUAAUAUAUCCCAUCUUCAAGAAUGCAUGGUAUAACUUGGUUUGUUGCAACAAGAUGAUAAAUAAAUUAUAGUUACAAUUCAUGAGAUAAACAUAUGUUUUUUAUUCUUUUGAUUUCAAACCACAUUUAAGCCUGAACUUGUGUGAGAAGUUAGUUGGAAAGAGUUUUGUGGUGAUAUUUUCCCCAAGUAAAGAAGAAUUCUCAAAUGGCUUAAAGUUCUCUACCACAAAUAUAAGAAAUCCUUCAAUUCAAUGGUAUGACAUUUUUCUCAAUUGAUAAUGUCACAAGCUGUCAAGAGUUGAAUUUUAAUGGCACUUAUUUAUCAUAAUGGUUGAAUCAACAUAUUUCUUCCACGUUGAUGAUAAUUUUUUUUGUUUAAUUUUACCUUUUCAAUAUCAAACUUUGUAAAUAUAUUUUCAUGAGUGUCAUUAGACAACUAUUUAGAUCUCUUGAGUUGAAAUACCUAUAAAUAUUAAAUUCAAAAAAUUUAUUAUGAUUCCAAUGAUUGAUAAAGUUUAUUUAUUCUAAUAUUGUUGAAAACUUUAACAACAUUUUUUUUAUCAGCAAAGAAUAGAAUAUAAUAUAAUAAAGAGAUACUUCAGUACCUCAAUCUGUAUACAAAAUUCAUGAAAUCCAACACUAAACCAGCUCAUAUACAAUAACCAUGAGACCCAAUACAAACUAAAGAAGAGAUCCUACAACCAGCUCCAAUACAUACACAAGAGUCUCAAAAUCCACCUAUGAGCAAAGAAAACAUAGAUAGGACCUAAAGAAUCUCAUUCUUCGGUGCCUAUUAAAGACAAAGGGAGUGUGGCCACAAAAGCUUAUAUACACAGUUAGGCAUUCAAAGAUAAUGGCUUAGAAACCAUGUGCAUUUUCCUAGUGACUCCAGCACAGUUGCAACUUGAGUAAGGCAUAGAGACUACCACGUGUCAAUACAACAAAUCAUAUGCACUAAUGUCCUCUUUUUUCUUAUCAGCAACGAAUUAAUGAAAUAAAAGGGACAAUUCAUAAAUGUCUUAACCCUUAUACAAAGAAAAGCCAACUAAGAUAAACAACAGAAUAGGCAACACAAAGCCUAGCUAACAAAACAUCAACUUAAGAGCAUCGUUUGUAUCUUAGUCUAACAUAAACACCUACACCUAAAUGAUACUACACCAUGUGUUGUCACAAGAGACCCAAACACCAACUAUAAAACAAACCUGUGUUGCAGAAGGCACCGAAUACAACUUCACCUACCUCUUUGAGUGCUAUCUGCUCACAUCCCCAACUCACCGACUCCAUCUAUCAUAUCAGCGUAGUACCUCAUGAUCCCCUUUUAUACCUUGUUUUUGGUUUAAUGGCUACCAUUCUACACUUAUCCUCCGAACCUGGUAUACCCUUCCCCCUUACAACCUACCCCCUUACAUUCAAUUGUCAAUAACAGCAGCAUCUCACACUAAUGCCCUGUUAUUCAACAUUUCUUAUUCAACAUCAAGUUAUUUAAUUCUUACUUUACAGAUUGCUUUAAGUAAACAAAUAUAUCACGACGUGGCAUUAAAAAAAAUAUUUGAAUUAGAAUUCUAUAUAUAAAGAAGAGGAUGUUCACAGGUUGAUAUCAAAGUUGUUUUUUCCACUUAAAUGCUUUGCUCAAAGAACUAAUAUUUAAAUUGUCACUCCGUGGAAAGAUGUUGCUAGACUUUUAAAAAAAAUAAUAACAAAUACAUAAUAGAAACAGAUAAUGAUCAUAAAAGAUAAAAGAUGUAAUUUUAUAUGGUUGUUAUUAAUUAGGCUAAAAGGCCACCAAACCAUGUAUAGUUUUAAUGUAAAUUACAACCUCCAGCAAGUUCUAAAAUUGGUACAUAAUAAAAUAAUAUGAUAGGGGCAUGGUGGGUGUUAUACUGCGACACUGUGGAGAACAACGGUCUCAAUGGUAAGUCCAGGUCCGAAACCAAAUAAAACACCCCAUUCAAGUCCUUCACCUGUGGUUUUAAGUCCAUUUUCAGCUGAUUUCCUUCUCAUCUCAUCCAAGAUGAAAAGCACACAUGCACUUGACAUGUUUCCGUAAUCACUCAGCACAUCUCUAGUGGCCUUCAUCUUUUCAGGUUUCAGACCCAAUUUUUGCUCAACUUGGUCUAGAAUUGCAGGUCCACCAGGGUGUGCAAUCCAGAAGAUGGAGUUGUAAUCAGAGAUGUUCAAUGGGUUGAAGGCCUCAAAAAGUGCCUUCUCAAUGUUCUUUGAGACAAUCCCAGGAACAUCCUUAAGGAGGUGAAACGUGAGUCCAACUUCACGUAGGUGGCCAUCAAUAGCACCAUCACUGUCUGGAGCAAUGGUCUGUGCAGUCCAAACCAGUUCAAACAAAGGCUUCUCAAUCUGUGGAAUUGGGUCAGAACCAACAAUCACUGCAGCUGCUCCAUCUCCAAACAAUGCCUGACCCACAAGACUGUCUAGGUGGGUGUCACUUGGCCCACGGAAAGUCACUGCAGUGAUCUCAGAACACACCACAAGCACACGGGCACCCUUGUUGUUCUCAGCCAAAUCCUUGGCCAAUCGAAGAACCGUGCCUCCAGCAAAGCAUCCUUGUUGGUACAUCAUGUACCUCUUCACAUAAGGCCGAAGUCCCAAGAGUUUGGUGAGCUGGUAAUCAGCACCAGGCAUGUCCACACCACUGGUGGUGCAAAAUAUCAAGUGUGUAAUCUUUGAUUUUGGCUGCCCCCACUCCUUUAUGGCCUUCACUGCAGCCUCUUUCCCUAGCUUUGGUACCUCUACCACCACUAUGUCUUGUCUCGCAUCCAAAGAAGGUGCCAUGUAAGCACACAUGUUAGGAUUCUCCUUCAGUAUCUCCUCGUCCAGGUGCAUAUAUCUCUUCUUUAUCAUCGACUUGUCACCUGAAACAUUGUAAACCAAUAUGAAUUUUAAUCAUCUUCAUUCAACAUCGUAAACUUGUUAAAUUUUGGAUUUUGGUAGAUAUCAAAAGAUGAGAGGGACUUACACAUGCGCUGGAACUUCUCUUUGAGGUCGGUCAUGUGUUCACUGUUUGUGAUUCUGAAGUAGUAAUCAGGAUAUGUGCUCUGAUCAACACAGUUAGAUGGGGUUGCAGUUCCAAUGGCAAGGAUGGUUGCUGGGCCUUCUGCCCUUUGAGCCUGACGAAUCUCGGAUACACUCACCAUCUCAGUUUUCUUGAAUAGAAGUAAUGAAGUGGUGAUGUUGAGAUGGUAGAGAGGGUUCUUGGUUUGGUUACUGAAGUAGUGUGUUUGAAGAUGUUGGAGGAGUUAGCAUUUUAUAUGAAUGCAAGGGUGGAUAGGAAGAAGAGUAGGUGAGCAUCACGUGCAUGACCAAUUGCCACUUUACGUUGCAAACACAUUUGUUGUAGUGUUAGUAUAUCAUGUGGUAGUUUGUGACGUAGAGUUUGGUGGCAUAUUUUAGAAGACGAUAUCUACCUCCGUUAACUCGUCAUCUAUCUUUGAAUUGACCAACCAAUAAUUGGUGAUAUUUUAUCACGUGUGUCGAACUUGGCCGUGGAGUGAAAAUAUUGAAUGAAUUAUUCUCCUACCGUCCAUCAACUACAGAUGCUGUGGGUUGACUUUUUUAAUCCAGGGUUAAUUUAUGCUAAUGCUGUUAUUUAGUUUUACUAGUUUUAAUCAAAAGUUGUUUAGAACUUUAAGAGUUGUAAAGUAUAUUUUCCUAAAUAAUUAACACAGUUUUGUAACGUUAAUUGGAGUGAACGGUGGUAGCGCAGGAAGAUACCGGAGGCAAUAGUGUUGGUAGGUUGCAGGUGAAGUAAUCGAACGGUCACAAUGAAAUCCCAAUUAAAUCAGAGACCACUAAUUCUUCAUAUUGUUUUAUUGUACAUUCUCUCCUGUUGGUUACUUUCGUUUGUCAUCAUCAAGCAGCAUUAAGUUCUAUGAACCCAUAAAAGAAUGUGCCCACUCAAUAUUUUAAAUUAAAAUUCAAAGUGAUUAGUUCAUUCUUCUACGGUCAACCUAUUAGAGCUACCAUUCUUUUGAUUUGCCCUUCUAUUUAUAUCAUAUUUUUUAAUAACAUUCUUUAAAUGCUUUUUUUUUUCAUAUUUCAUAUUUUAAAAUUUGUUACUUGAUUUUUUAUUAACUAAUUAGAUAUCAAUUUAAAAUUUAUUUAUUAAUAAUAUAAAUUAUUUUAGAUACUAAUAAAUUUUGUAGUCUUUAAAAUAAUAUAUAAUUUAGUGAACACAGUAACUAAUUACUUUUUAUCUUUAAAAUUAAUUUAUAUUUAAUUAUGUUUUUAGUAAAUGGAAUUUUUUCACUCGUGGAUCAUUAGACCAAGAGAUUUACCCGUUGGAAAACGAUUAUUUUGAAGUUCGUAAAUGAGACUCGAUUAGGUGGCUAGGGACUGUUUGAUGGUUUCCUCAGUAACAUUUUCAUUUUUAUAUUUUUGCAAGUGUUGGCAUGUAAGUUUACAAUGAGUGACUUUGGGUAGGCGUAUGUAAGUGUUGAUAAGUUUUUUCAAAGUUAAUGUCGAUUAGGAUUAUAUAACCGAACAUGGAUUGUCUACUUGUAAGAAUAAUUGACUUCUAGUCGAUCAAAAGAUAGUCAAUCACUUAAUUAGGUGACAGAUGAAGAUCUGCAAGCAGAGUUGGUUAAAGAGGAGUUAACUUUGAGUCUUAGGUACAAAUGGUAGAACCAAACAUGAAAAAAUAUUUUGCAAAGUAUAAAGUGGUCCUUUAUGUUUUAUGCUUUGCUUAUAGUGUAAUUUAUUAUUAUUUUUACUUUAAUUUACAAAUUUAAAGAAGUUUAUUUUUUACAUUUAAUUUUUUUAAAAAAAUUAUUUUAUAAAUUAUUUUCUAGAUGCAUUUAUAUACAAUAAAAUUUGUACUCACUUUCACUAAAUCUACAAUCUCACUUUCCACACUGUUUUUAUCUUUUUUUUUAUCUCGUCAUUUUCUUAAUCUAAACACAUUUUGUUUUGAUUGGGAGUGGAGAGAAAAACAAAAUGAUUAGAAAGAUAAUACAAAAUUAGUAUGUUUGGAUUAAAGAAAAUUAAAUAUAUUUGAAUAUAAAGUUUGUAGAUAUGAUUGAUUUUUUUUUUAAUUUUAAUAAUAUUAUAUUAUUUAUUUUACUAUAAUAAUUAAAAACGUAAAUAUGAAUAAAAAAUUAAUCAAUAUCAAUCAAUUAUGUUCAAGACAUAAUCGAUUAUGAAAGACAAAAACAUAAUUGAUUAUGAAUGAGAAUAUAAUUGAUUGUGACUACAAUUUGCAUAAAAAAGUAAAAAUAAAAAAAUGACUUCAAUUUACAUCACCGGUGCAGAAACACACAACGAGUGCGGCUAUUUUGAAUAUAUAAAUGUGGAUAUAUAGCUGCAUUUGAUCAACACGCACUUGUAAAUCGAAGAGAUACAAAUGCGGUUAUAUAUCCGCAUUUAUAAAUAUCAUUUAUAAGUGCGGCUAUUUCUUUUAGCCACAUUUGUAUAUGCUUCAGUAAAUAAAUAAUAAUAAUAAAUACGUUCAAAUGUAACCUAUAAUGUACAAAUUAUUUAUAAAUAAUAUAUAAAUUAUAAUACAUAAGAAAAUAAAUUCAAAAUAUUAAAGAAAAAUUCAAAAAACUUAAAACAGAACACUAACCUUAUGUAUGAACCAACAUUGGUGGUGAAGAGUGGCAGGAGAGUGCCAGCAAUGACGACGGCAACGGAAGCGGUGGCGGAGCAGCAAUGGAGAUGAGAAUGUCAAUGGAACAGUUCAACCACAAUGCAAGGAGAAAAAACAAAUAUAAGGAAAACGAAAAAAAUUUAUACGUAGUUAAGAUGUAGAGGAAGAAAGCAAUUCAAGAAACUCACAAUGGCACAAAUUAAUGAAGAUGCAGAAGAAGAGAAGAACUGCAAGCGUACGCGAGCGCAGGAACGGUGAAAACGAAAGGCAAAGUGGAAAAGAAAAUAUGAAAGUGGUGUGGUGCAAUUCAAAUUUUAGGGUAAAAAAUGAUUUACAAGUGCGACUAUUCAAAUAGCCAGCCGCAUUUGUAAAUUAAGCGCUUUGAUUUACAAGUGCGGCUAUACAAAUAGCCGCAUUUGUAAAUCAAAUUAAUUACAAAAAUGUCACCGCGUUUUUUACGGAUGUGUUUGAGCGCAAAACCGCACUUAAUAAAUAAUAUUCUUUUCAUCAUUUUGUACUAGUGCAUAAAUCUUUUUGUCAGAAAAUUUGUAUUUUUUCAAUUUUUAGUCCACACUACUUCUUUUUUUGUCGUUAGAUCCAAACACAGAAUAUAUUUUUCUUUAUCAAUUGUUCUCACAUUGAUGUUGCAUAAUUACACUCCUAUAAAUUUUUUUUAUGUAAUUUUCUACAUAAUUUCGUCUCACUCAAUCAAAAUGUUAUGGAUGAACAUUUAUUUAAAUUUCUAAGCAACUUGUCUCCCACACCUUUGAGGAUCAAUCAUAUAUUAAUGGACUAUUUUUUUUAUACAAUUUUCUCACUAAGCAUGUCUCUACACUCAAUUGGGUGCAACUUACACUCAAUUUUGAAAGAUUUUUUUAUUCAUUGAAUUAUAUGUAGAUAUGUAGAUAUUUUAAAGGAUAUUUUAUAAUGAAAAAUGUUAUAUGUAGAAUAAAUUGUACAAAAUUUAUUUAUAAAGAAGAGAAAAUAUAUAAACCAAAGUAUGAAAUAUCAUACGAUAUGAAGAAAAAAUAAUAGAAAUAAAAUGUAUUAUUAUAUAUAUUAUUACAUAAGUAAAAAUAAGGACAAAAGAGGAAAAUACUACCAUUCUAAAUGACUUUCUCCUCGAAUAUUUACAUAUAAGUAGAGGGAAAAAAAUCACUACCCAAUUCAAAUCAUAGAUAUCUCCUCACAUAAUUUUUGUAAACAAUAAAUUCUUAAAACAGACAUAUAAUAUGAAUGGAACUUCUUCUCUUAGUAUAUCUUCCUUUCCCAUGAGUCAACCUCCUCUUAUGUCAUUUUCCACAUUAACAUUAUGUACAAAUCUUAUAGAUAAAUUUCUAAGACGGUUUUCUAUGAGUAUGUUUCUCAUAAUUAACAAUGUGAUUGAAAUUACAAACUUAUAGUUAAUUGAAAUUCUGUUAUAAUUUUAUAUAUUAACACAUAUUCCUGACCAAUUUUCUCAUCUUUGUUUUGUUGUAUUCACGGUCCAGUUUUUCAUUUUCAUUCCAAUUUUAACUCUUGUAAAUUAAAUGAAUAGCAAAAUACAGUUUAUAACAAGUUUUUAUUAUGCUUUUCAAUUUUGUUAAAAAACUACCACCAUCAUACUUGUUCAUUCUAAUUUGUAUUAUUUUAAAAUAUAUUGAAUCUUUUUCACAUUAUACUUGAUAUCAAUUUUUUUUUAUUCUUUUCAAUUUUGCUAGAAAAAUACACUAUCAAGCAUUUCCCCAAUUUUACGUAAUUUCCAAAAUAAAAAAAUUACAACAAUUUAUUGUAGUAUUUAUUUUAUGUGAUAAUUUAUUAUUUCAUAUUAGACAGGUAAAGAUUCAUGCAAAAAUAAAAAAAAUGUCAAGUAAUAAAAAGGCAAAGUAUUUGGAACAUGGUUUCUAUUUUUUGCACAAUUAAUUUUGGAAUCAAUAAAAUAAAAAUUAUACAUUCUUAAUUCUUAUUAUUAUUAUAUAUUAUAAAUAAAACUUAAAAAAAAUACAUAAAAAAAUCAAAAAUAAAAUCUGAAUGCGGAAACAACAGGGUAAGGCAUGGUGUGAGUGUUAUAUUGCGACACUAUGGAGAACGACUGUUUCGAUGGUAAGUCCGGGUCCAAAACCAAACAAAACACCCCAUUCAAGUCCUUCACCUGUUGUUUUAAGUCCCUUUUCAGCUGAUUUCCUCCUCAUCUCAUCCAAGAUGAAUAGCACACAUGCACUUGACAUGUUCCCAUAAUCACUCAGCACAUCUCUUGUGGCCUUCAUCUUUUCAGGUUUCAGACCCAACUUUUGCUCAACUUGGUCCAAAAUUGCAGGUCCACCAGGGUGUGCGAUCCAGAAGAUGGAGUUGUAAUCAGAGAUGUUCAAUGGGUUGAAGGCCUCAAAAAGUGCCUUUCCAAUGUUCUUUGAGACAAUCCCAGGAACAUCCUUAAGGAGGUGAAACGUGAGUCCAACUUCACGAAGGUGGCCAUCAAUAGCACCAUCACUGUCUGGAGCAAUGGUCUGUGCAGUCCAAACCAACUCAAACAAAGGCUUCUCAAUCUGUGGAAUUGGGUCAGAACCAACAAUCACUGCAGCUGCUCCAUCUNNNNNNNNNNNNNNNNNNNNNNNNNNNNNNNNNNNNNNNNNNNNNNNNNNNNNNNNNNNNNNNNNNNNNNNNNNNNNNNNNNNNNNNNNNNNNNNNNNNNNNNNNNNNNNNNNNNNNNNNNNNNNNNNNNNNNNNNNNNNNNNNNNNNNNNNNNNNNNNNNNNNNNNNNNNNNNNNNNNNNNNNNNNNNNNNNNNNNNNNNNNNNNNNNNNNNNNNNNNNNNNNNNNNNNNNNNNNNNNNNNNNNNNNNNNNNNNNNNNNNNNNNNNNNNNNNNNNNNNNNNNNNNNNNNNNNNNNNNNNNNNNNNNNNNNNNNNNNNNNNNNNNNNNNNNNNNNNNNNNNNNNNNNUACCACCACUAUGUCUUGCCUCGCAUCCAAAGAAGGUGCCAUGUAAGCACACAUGUUAGGAUUCUCCUUCAGUAUCUCCUCGUUCAGGUGCAUAUAUCUCUUCUUUAUCAUCGACUUAUCACCUGAAACAUUGUAAACCAAUAUGAAUGUUAAUCACCUUCAUUCAACAUCAUAAACUUGUUAGAUUUCUGAUUUUGGUAGAUAUGAGAAGAUGAGAGGACUUACACAUGCGCUGGAACUUCUCUUUGAGGUCGGUCAUGUGCUCACUGUUUGUGAUUCUGAAGUAGUAAUCGGGAUAUGUGCUCUGAUCAACACAGUUUGAUGGGGUUGCAGUUCCAAUGGCAAGGAUGUUUGCUGGGCCUUCUGCCCUUUGAGCCUGGCGGAUCUCGGAUACACUCA
This 12831-nucleotide long non-coding RNA is filed under the name Phaseolus vulgaris (common bean). RNAcentral's name for it is "long non-coding RNA (PVUL_LNC004319)". Lineage: Eukaryota; Viridiplantae; Streptophyta; Magnoliopsida; Fabales; Fabaceae. The record is from RNAcentral.